CAACAGCUUUGUCAGUGUUGUUUUCUAGGCCUCUGGUCAAGGUAUUCCUCUGGGCCUUUGAUCAAAAGCACUUCAGAGGAAAUAGAUUUGGGAUUCUGCUCAGCAUGACUGACCUGCUGUCAUAGAGAAACAGUCUGUAUGUGUUGCUAUAGAAACACAGUAACAGUCUGUUGUCAUGGAGAUGGAUUCUACCUCUAAGUGGACAAUUGGGAAUAAGGAGAAUUCUAACGUUGGUUGGAAUGUUAGGACAGGAUCUGGGAAUGUUGGCUCUGGGAAUAGAACACCUUUGGAGUUUUAUGGAGUUUAUGUAUAUUGCGUUUUAAUAACAUUCUGUGUGGGUUGCUAUGGUUAAUGCCAACUGGGACUUUAUAAGAUGGCGAAUCAGAGGAUGUACUGAUAUGACCGAAUUUUAUGCUCUGGAAAGACAAAUCACAGAUUUUAAUAAGAGAAAUAUAAAAGAUUACGGAGGAUUAGUAGACUGGCAGGGACUGCAAGAUGAAGGAGAACGAAGGAGUGUAAGGAGCAUAGACUAGAAAGAGACAGCAAGUGGUUAGUUUGGAGGAAUGUCCCGUGACCCCUAAUGCCUACAGGGAGCAGGGACUUUUGGGAGAUGACAAGUGGAGAUUUUCCACAUUUACUAUUUCACCUUAGCAGUGAACCAAUGGGAGAGCUUUCAUUGUCUGAAUGCUUGGCCACUGAUUCACCAUGACGAUGACAAACAAAUACAGGAUGUGGAACACAGAAAGUGGAUGGGAAUGGGUCUGAAACCGCCCACGCCCCCUGCGCUGACCAAUCACAGGACAAUCUGAGCAACGCCUUUGAGCUUUUUGGGAAGUAUGGUCCUUUUUCCUGGCUUCCUUUUUUCCUUUUUUUUUUUAUUUUUAAUUUCUAAUUAUUUUAUUUGCUGUGUCCCUGCCGUGACUCUGCUUCUACAGAUAUACUUCUUGUAAUAUUGAGAUGACAUCAUCUAUAUGUAAUCUGCCUUGUGAUGUCAUCAAUAUUAACCUGCCCCCCCCCCACACCUGAAGCUGCUAUAAGGAGAAUCUAUAUGUUCGGAUCAUGUUAACCGCUUGUGUGUAUCUUGAAGUAUGUGUGUGGGUGUGGGAUGUUCUGAACACCUGUUUUUAUUAUUACCAUCCUGGUUGUUGUGAGGAGGCUGUGUGGGUGAGGGAGGCGGGAUGAGGAGCCUGGUUGAGGAGACUGAGUGGGGGAGGAGGCUGGGUGAGGGAGAGGCCUGGAUGGGGGAAGCUGGGAUGAGGCUGGGUGGGUGAGGAUGGGUGAGGAAGUGUGUAACUUUAAGACCCUUAGUAGAACUCUCAGGGUUCUGUGAAGUUCUAGAACUCCUCCUAGUGGCUCUAUGGACUGUAAAAAGAACUGACCUCCAACCCCUGACACUUUCAGGACCUCAGUAUCUACACAAUGACCACGCCUCCUUUAGCUGGUCUCUCUGGUUUCUUUCAUUUACUAUUCAAUCUCUGUCGAUAUUUUCUGCAUUGUUUUGUUUCCUCGUUAAAGCAGCAUGGAUGGUUGUGUGGUCUGGUCUGGGCUCAGACUGAAUCUGAUGACGCAACGAUGUGGCAAUAAAGAUAUACAUACUCAAACUGAUGCACACUGUGUGUGUGAUCCUGGUUUUACUAUACAUACACCAUCUGAUUGUUUUCAUGUUAAUGCAUAAAUUUGUUCAUAUGUUAAUUAGGGCUCCAGUGCUAAAAACAGCCCCACCCCAAAAAGACAGGUUGGGUCCCACCCCCAAGACAGUGCUAUCCUGAAUACAGUUAGGCUCGACCCCAAAAGCCAAACCAACUGCCAA
Long non-coding RNA from Esox lucius (northern pike), 1810 nucleotides. The record is from Ensembl. NCBI's taxonomy places the organism in Eukaryota, Metazoa, Chordata, Actinopteri, Esociformes, Esocidae.